CUUCAUCGUAAUUCGUGCGCCUGUGUGAAACCCCUUCUUAAACCCACAGAAACAUCAGAAAUAUAGAGCAGUCUUGGGACUGCCUCUAAAAGAAGAAGACAAAAAAUAAAGACAAGAAACAGAGCUUUCUCCUCUGAUGGUGUGUGUGUAUGUGUGUUAUAUAAAAGGGGUUGCGUCAGAAAAUCCUUUUGAAUGCAAGUUUUUUACUCUGUCUUUUCUCCUUCACUGUGGAAAACUAUUGAGACUAAUUAGGGUUCUUACCUAGUCAAGUUUAUGGCCAUGGCAUUGCUACUACAUUUUCUCCGUAGGUGGUUUUUCCUUCCCUUAAGGCCAAGUAGAUAUGUAGGAUUAAAGCUUGCUUCAAACAUUUUGAGGUGUUCAACAGCUAAACCUGGUUGAAUUUACUGUUCCUUUACUUUCCCUGGAACAUGUGAACCCUGAUCUUGUAAGUACAUUGUUACUUAAGUAGGGAAUGAAGCCACUGGUCCGCAAAGCUUGCCAAUCUUUGUAAUAUGUUGAAAAUACCCAUGGUGGGAUAUAAAGCAGAAACUUUCUUUUGCAUAUUAAAGCUACUCUUUUUUAUCUUUUCUGAAUUUUGACCUAUGUAUUUAAUUCAGUGGAGAAUCAACGCUCAAUUAGCUUGCCGGUGUGUGAUACUGCAAAAGGAUAAUUUGGUUUAUUACUUU
Nicotiana tabacum (common tobacco) is the source of this 686-nucleotide long non-coding RNA. RefSeq lists it as uncharacterized. Lineage: Eukaryota; Viridiplantae; Streptophyta; Magnoliopsida; Solanales; Solanaceae. The record is from RefSeq and is a predicted model, not a curated record.